CUCCUGCUCUGACUUCCCCCUUUGAUUUAUUAUAGCCAUGAAAUGCUCUACUCUCUUCUCUUUUCCUUGCUGUCUCUUGGGGCUGGAGGAACACAGGCAUCCCUGGGCGUCCGGCCUUGGCCCGCUGCCCCCGUCUCCUCCCGAGGCCAGGGCUCCAGGGCCAGCACAGAGAGACUUGUUUGUAUAUGGAAGACUGGAAGCGCCCAAAGCCCCUCACCUGGGGACAGCUUGUGUCAAUCACGACAGUUCUGCACAGGGAGGAAGAGACGCCGGUGCAGCACCGGCCUCCUCCGUAAAUAGGAAAAUCUGCUCAGAGGAGAGGGCUGGACCCAGCUCAGGGCCCAGGAGUCACCCUGCGUGUGACCCCCGGCACAACGAAGAAAGAAGAAAAGGCUGAACUGCACUGUUGGAAAUGCUUAUAAAGAAAAGCAGGGGAAAACAACCAAAAUGCCCAUCAAUUGCAGAGUGGAUGAAAAAGGUGUGGUAUUUUUAUACAGUGGAAUAUUACUCAGCUAUAAAAAGGAUGCUCUUGAGGCCUUCAUGGGUAAAUGGAGACAACUCUUUCCUCAUAUGAGAAAUAAAUAAGAAUCAUAUUUACAAAUAUCACAUUAUGUCUCUAGUGUAAAAAAUAGUAAGAACUGUAGGAGUAAUAAAACCCAAAAUGUGUAAUUGCUAUUGUAAAAAAGAGAGGAAAAGGAAGUGCUCUAAAGGAUAUAACUGCACGUAUGUUAGUGUGUAGAAUUGACAAUCACAUUACUAAGUAUUACUAAGUUUUUGUUGGAUCGUUGAGCAGAACUGUUUGUAGUCUCACUGUUUGCAUGUACACUUUGUAUGCUUUACUUUUGUAACUUGAAUAACUAUUUCUUUUUUUUUUUUUUUUAUCAGUACUGGGGAUCGAACUCACGACCAUGUGCUUGCAUGGCAGGCGCUUAUGCUACUGAGCUAAAUCCCCAGCCCCUCUAUUUCUAAGAUGACAGUAUAUAAUUUAUCAACUAGUGAUUUCUCACUCUUUAUCUUUUUUGAAAUUCUGUAUUAUUAGUACCUUUUUUUUCUGUUUUGCUUUUUUUUUUCCUCUUUAAAAAAAAAAAAAAAAGCAAGGGGGCUGGGGAUUUAGUUCAGCAGUGCAGCACCUGCCUGGCAAGCGUGAGGUCCUGAGUUUGAUUCCAGGUUACCCCUGCCUGCCAAAGAAGCAAGGAGCCAGGUGUGGUGGUACAGUACACAUUCAUUAUCCUAGCUCUUGGGAGGCUGAGACAGGAGGAUUUCCAUGAGUUUAAGUCUAACAUAGAGAGAUUUUGUUUCAAAAAGGAGGAGAGGGGCUGGGGAUGUAGCUCAGUGGGAACACCUGCCCAGCAUUCAUAGGACCCUGGGGUCCAUCCCUAGCACUGCCCCUUCCCUCCCUCCUUUCUUCCUUCUUUCUUUCCUUCCUUCCUUCAUUUUUCAUGCUGGGGAUCCAAUCCAAGGUCUCCCACACAUUAGGCAAGCGUCUUACCACUAAGCUACCUCCCAAGUCCUGAUGCUUAAUUUUUUGACCUGAAGCACCGUUGCAUAGGUGUUCACUUUAUUCUUCAAACUAUGCAUCAUUUGAAAAGUCUCACAAUUAGGCAUGGUGGUACCCACCUGUAGAGCCAGCUACUUAGGAGGCUGAGGCAGGAGGAUUUCUUGAGCCUGGGAGCUUGGGACAGCCUGGGAAACAUCAUGAGAUCCUAGUACAGAGGAUCCUCACCUUGUGAGGGACUUUACACCCUGGCAAGCCCAUCAUAAGUUGGAGAUACUUUUAAUGCAUGUAACUGGUAACACCUCCUCGCUUAGCAAUGCUGAACACUGUAGAAAAUCAAUGGUGACCAGCAACUGUGGCGACUGCCACUGCCUAGUGUCACAGAGGAAUCUCAGACCACCUAUUGCCAGCCAGGGAAGAGAUCAAGAUUGGAAAUGCGAAGUAUUUUGGUAGAAGUUUCUAUGGAUCCUUUUCACAUGAUCAUAAAGUAAAACAGAAAACCCUAGGUGGGGUCAUCACAGAUCGGGGAGCGUCUGCACAUCCGAGUGGUGGAUACUCCACCGUCAUUACAGUGAACAGCACUAGCCAGGCACAGUGAUGCACGUGCUCGUCAUCUCAGCACUCAGGAGGCUGAGGCCGGAGGGUCGUCAUGAGUUCAAGGACAGCCUGGACUACCCGGUGAGACCCUCUCUCAACAACUUAAAGUGAAACAGAUUUUAAACGACUGUCUCUGUGUCUGCAGGCUCCUGUCUGCCCCGAUCGUGCCCCAGCGGACACGCAGGAUCAGGUAGCAGGGGUGGCCGCCGUGGAAGAGGAAGUGGGGAGUUGUGGAUCUUUUCUGUUUUGGAUUUCGAACCAUACACCUGUGUUAUCUAUUCAAACAAUAAAACAAUGAAAAACUUCUCAUUAA
Cavia porcellus (domestic guinea pig) is the source of this 2405-nucleotide long non-coding RNA. RefSeq lists it as uncharacterized. The transcript has 2 exons. NCBI's taxonomy places the organism in Eukaryota, Metazoa, Chordata, Mammalia, Rodentia, Caviidae. The record is from RefSeq and is a predicted model, not a curated record.